AGUUUGAUCCUGGCUCAGGAUGAACGCUAGCUACAGGCUUAACACAUGCAAGUCGAGGGGCAUCAGUUUGGUUUGCUUGCAAACCAAAGCUGGCGACCGGCGCACGGGUGAGUGACACGUAUCCAACCUGCCUCAUACUCGGGGAUAGCCUUUCGAAAGAAAGAUUAAUAUCCGAUAGCAUAUACUUCCCGCAUGGGUUUUAUAUUAAAGAAAUUCGGUAUGAGAUGGGGAUGCGUUCCAUUAGUUUGUUGGGGGGGUAACGGCCCACCAAGACUACGAUGGAUAGGGGUUCUGAGAGGAAGGUCCCCCACAUUGGAACUGAGACACGGUCCAAACUCCUACGGGAGGCAGCAGUGAGGAAUAUUGGUCAAUGGACGCGAGUCUGAACCAGCCAAGUAGCGUGAAGGAUGACUGCCCUAUGGGUUGUAAACUUCUUUUAUAUGGGAAUAAAGUUGUCCACGUGUGGAUUUUUGUAUGUACCAUAUGAAUAAGGAUCGGCUAACUCCGUGCCAGCAGCCGCGGUAAUACGGAGGAUCCGAGCGUUAUCCGGAUUUAUUGGGUUUAAAGGGAGCGUGGGCGGAUUGUUAAGUCAGUUGUGAAAGUUUGCGGCUCAACCGUAAAAUUGCAGUUGAUACUGGCAGUCUUGAGUGCAGUAGAGGUGGGCGGAAUUCGUGGUGUAGCGGUGAAAUGCUUAGAUAUCACGAAGAACUCCGAUUGCGAAGGCAGCUCACUGGAGUGUAACUGACGCUGAUGCUCGAAAGUGUGGGUAUCAAACAGGAUUAGAUACCCUGGUAGUCCACACAGUAAACGAUGAAUACUCGCUGUUUGCGAUAUACAGUAAGCGGCCAAGCGAAAGCAUUAAGUAUUCCACCUGGGGAGUACGCCGGCAACGGUGAAACUCAAAGGAAUUGGCGGGGGCCCGCACAAGCGGAGGAACAUGUGGUUUAAUUCGAUGAUACGCGAGGAACCUUACCCGGGCUUAAAUUGCAAAUGAAUUAUGGGGAAACCCAUACGCCGCAAGGCAUUUGUGAAGGUGCUGCAUGGUUGUCGUCAGCUCGUGCCGUGAGGUGUCGGCUUAAGUGCCAUAACGAGCGCAACCCUUAUCUUCAGUUACUAACAGGUCAUGCUGAGGACUCUGGAGAGACUGCCGUCGUAAGAUGUGAGGAAGGUGGA
RNAcentral lists this ribosomal RNA (1173 nucleotides) under uncultured Bacteroides sp. Its description in RNAcentral is "bacterial SSU rRNA". It matches the Rfam family "Bacterial small subunit ribosomal RNA", at positions 10 to 1177 of the family's 1533-position model. The record is from RNAcentral. Lineage: Bacteria; Pseudomonadati; Bacteroidota; Bacteroidia; Bacteroidales; Bacteroidaceae.